ACUCCUUUUCAAAAGAUACUGGAACUUUAAGGCUUUUAUCAAGUCUCAUUGCACGAAUAGCUGCCCGAGGUUCAGGAUAUUUCUGCAAAUAACGUAAAGCAGUUUUUAAUCCCAUUCCAGCUACACCAUCUGUGUAAUCACAUCCGGAAAAUAUUGCCAUAUGUCGAAGUUUUUCAAUCGGAAGACGGAGAUUCAAGUCUUGUGCGUUUGCUAUGUCAUUACGUCUAAUAGUUAUGCAAUUCCCAAAUCCAUCCAUCUUAAAUAGUACCGUUUGAGCGCCAAAAACUAGCAUAUCAGAGUCUUCCGUAAUAAUGCCAUCAAUGAUAUUUUCCUUCUCCAAAUAUACGAGUUGAGCAUCUGCUUCAUACGGAGCAACGAUUGAUUCAAUCCCAUGUUCUCUCAAAGCGAUUAUUAACUUCCAAGCCAUUUCUGGGGUCACAUCAACACAGCGUGAGAAUUGCAUUAUUGCUUGACUUUUCUUACCUUCAUCCCACAAUUUCUUACCAAGUUCAAAUGCCUCUUGGCGACGUUCUUUUCUUUUUUGCUCAGUUGAUGCUUUACAGGGAAGAGGUCCUCCAUCGAAUACUAUUAAAGGUUUUACACCAUAAUAUUGUAGCAUUAACGCCUGAUGAAUAGCAUACUUUAGGUAUUUAUCGGUUUCCUUGUUAAAUGCUAAUUCAUGAGCACAUGUAAACACUGCCUUGUGCAACCAAACAUAUCCAUCAACUCCCAAAGUCUUGCCAGAAAACUCCUCGACAUGAGAGCUUUUCUGCAUAGGCUUCAAAAGUCCCAAAAGACCUUUAAUUCCCAUGUUUAAAGCAUUCGUCAAGCACCAAAAGAAUGCAGGUGCGUUAUCGAGAUGUUGGUUCUGUAACAGUUUUAACGUAGUACCCUUGGAAGUGUGUUGUGUAUCUGAUCAACAAAUAUAUUCUUGCAGUCGAUAGGCCCAAAACGAACAAGUAUAAAAUUUACUUUAUCAUUAAGAAAGGAUAAAUAUAAAAGGCUUUGUUAUUGUUUAUGUGUGAAAUAAUUUAAGGAGCCGGCUAUCAUUGUUUGAGUAUGCUGGUGUACUUCUUUUCUAAACAUCUAUUCAAUCGAAAUCAUUAAAAUCAUGAUAAUACUAUAAGUAAGUUUUUUUCUUUAAAGUUCUUUGUUUGAAAUCUAUCGUGAUUGUUAACUAAGACUACGGUGAAUCAAUCAACCAUUACCAAAUCAUUGAAUUUAGCUGUAUGAGGAAAACUCAAGCGCAAAAUUAAUAUUUUAAAGUUCU
Non-coding RNA from Schizosaccharomyces pombe (fission yeast), 1270 nucleotides. The record is from the annotation of a GenBank genome assembly. Lineage: Eukaryota; Fungi; Ascomycota; Schizosaccharomycetes; Schizosaccharomycetales; Schizosaccharomycetaceae.